GUGCCCUCUGUGGGCACUGGCGGGAUGGAGAUGGUGCAGCGUGGAGCAAUUCUCAGCCAUACAGCCCGAAAAAUACCACCUGCGUGGGAAGGACCUGAAGGACCUGAAGCCUGAUUUGUACUGUCUUGCACAUACAACAUGAACAAAUGAGUCUCAUGCUGAAAACAUCAUUAGAGAAGAAGCAAAGUUACAUUUCACAAACUGUUUUACAUUAUCUGCAAGAAAGGUCUGUGUAAGAGGGUUUAAGGGAAGGAGAGAAUAUGUAGGGAACCAAACAGAUGUUCCGGUUAGAGGCUCUGAAACAGCAGCUCAGCCAGAGGCCUCUGAGAUAACACAGGAAUCCACUAAAAGACCUUGGGCAGCCUGGGAAGGAGAGAAAAGAAGCUGCUAAUUGCUGCGGAGGAAUACCUGUGAUGAGUACCUGCACUUAAAGAUAAAAAUAAGAUAGAGAAAACGGUUUUAAGCUAACACUACUUAUAGAAUAUAUACUGGUAUAUAUUUAACAAUAAUAGUGUGUUAUUAAAAGGUUUGAAAGGAGUGUGUAAAUUUAAAAAAUGUGUGUAACAGUAUAAAAAGUA
This is a long non-coding RNA of Pipra filicauda (Wire-tailed manakin), 578 nucleotides long. RefSeq lists it as uncharacterized. Lineage: Eukaryota; Metazoa; Chordata; Aves; Passeriformes; Pipridae. The transcript has 3 exons. The record is from RefSeq and is a predicted model, not a curated record.